This is a long non-coding RNA of Lontra canadensis (Northern American river otter), 1253 nucleotides long. RefSeq lists it as uncharacterized. The transcript is spliced from 5 exons. Lineage: Eukaryota; Metazoa; Chordata; Mammalia; Carnivora; Mustelidae. The record is from RefSeq and is a predicted model, not a curated record.
UGGCUGUUUUCUUAUCCCAAUUUGAAUGUCCAAAACAAAACCCAGACCUAGUUGACACUUAAACAAUAGAAUGUUACAUUAGUUUGUGAUCCAAAGUGAAAUGUGCACAGGCAGCCUGGCUGGCCCCAGUUUCACAGUUGACUGCCGACUUCACUUCAGAUUAUGUAAACAUGUAUUGCAAAACAGCGCUGAAGGGAGCCUCCUAACCUAAACAGCAUUCUCUGAAAUGUAACUUGUUGUCUUUUUAUAUAAAAGGAGAAAUUAAAUCAAAAUUAUUUUGAAGAGAAACAACUCCAGGAUUUUGUUCAAUUGAGUUUUACCAGGAAAUGCUAUUGCUAGUAGCACUGACCUUGGGGCAGAGAGAAGCUGAAGUCACGUAUUUUGCAGGGUCAGACUUCUCUAGUGACUUCACGUGUUGUCACAUCAAGUCAAUCAAGUGACUAGAGCAUCUGUCACCUUAGGCCACAAGGAGCACUCCUUUAGUAUUCCAUCCUGGAGAAAGAUAUGUGCUGGGUUAUGUUCACCAAGAUCUAAAAUGAUCACCCCUUUUGGACAAUAAACUGUUGUGAUCUCGCCCUGCAAGAACCUUACAAAAUGAAGGUGGAAUUUCAGGAUGUCUAGAAAAAGUCAUGGAAAAGAAGUUUUGGAGAAAUGAAUCUACAUUCAACCCAUGAAGUUAAAGAGCAACCUACAGACAACCUUUGGGACAGCAGCCUUGCCCACAAGUGAGAGAUGAAGACUAUUGGCUGCCCAUGGAAAAAGAAGAUGUGGCUCUUUGAGGGAGAAGACCCUUCCUCUUUCCUUCAGUGGCUGAGACCAUUGAGCUGAAGUCGACUUCUCUGCAGUCUUAAGUUAUUCCAGACGGUGGAUUGAUUUUCUCGCCUUACCUUCCUCAGAUGUGGAGGCCCGGCAGCGGCCGUGGCUGGCACGGUGCACAUGACAACCAAAGUCUGCUGCAGAAGUUUUCUUGGCAUAUUAAAAUUUGCCCACAAGAGAGUUUACCGGAAAAAGAAUCCUCAAGGUAAAGAGCUGGUGUCUACAUCUUUGCCUCAGAUGGUCAGAUUUCUGGGAAAAUCUCAGCUGGGAGCUCUUCUGAGAAGUAAGCUGACAUCACAGGGUUGCAGGACUUACCGCCUCAAAACUCUGAUGCUCUAGAGAUUUGCCAAAGCCACUAUUUGUUUAAAAUUGACUCUAAACAAUGAAACUUGGGAACACUGAAAAAAUUUAAAAAAAUAAAAUAAAUAAAAUAAAAU